This 433-nucleotide ribosomal RNA is filed under the name uncultured bacterium. RNAcentral's name for it is "bacterial SSU rRNA". It matches the Rfam family "Bacterial small subunit ribosomal RNA", at positions 29 to 507 of the family's 1533-position model. The record is from RNAcentral.
AAUGAACGCUGGCGGCAGGCCUAACACAUGCAAGUCGAACGGAUCCUUCGGGAUUAGUGGCGGACGGGUGAGUAACGCGUGGGAACAUACCCUUUGGUACGGAAUAGCCUCGGGAAACUGGGAGUAAUACCGUAUGUGGUCGAGAGACGAAAGAUUUAUCGCCAAAGGAUUGGCCCGCGUAGGAUUAGCUAGUUGGUGAGGUAAAGGCUCACCAAGGCAACGAUCCUUAGCUGGUCUGAGAGGAUGAUCAGCCACACUGGGACUGAGACACGGCCCAGACUCCUACGGGAGGCAGCAGUGGGGAAUAUUGGACAAUGGGCGAAAGCCUGAUCCAGCAAUGCCGCGUGAGUGAUGAAGGCCUUAGGGUUGUAAAGCUCUUUUACCCGGGAUGAUAAUGACAGUACCGGGAGAAUAAGCCCCGGCUAACUCCGUG